RNAcentral lists this microRNA precursor (52 nucleotides) under Pteropus alecto (black flying fox). RNAcentral's name for it is "mir-1302 microRNA precursor family". It matches the Rfam family "mir-1302 microRNA precursor family". Lineage: Eukaryota; Metazoa; Chordata; Mammalia; Chiroptera; Pteropodidae. The record is from Rfam by way of RNAcentral. RNAcentral also lists the same sequence under 1 other name.
UUUAAAAUAUAAGUAUGUCCCAUGAAAUGUUUGGGACACAUUUAUACUAAAA